UGCAUGUCUCAGUGCAAGCUAAAUUAAAGUGAAACCGCAAAUGGCUCAUUAAAUCAGUUAUGGUUCAUUAGAUGAUACAUCAUUUUACUUGGAUAACUGUGGUAAUUCUAGAGCUAAUACAUGCAAAUUGAAUUCCCACCGGUGACGGUAGGAACGCUUUUAUUAGAUCAAAACUAAUACGUUUGCUUCGGCAAUCGAUACGAAUGGUGAUUCUGAAUAACUUUUUGAUGAUCGUACGAUCCUUGAAUCGACGACAAAUCUUUCAAAUGUCUGCCUUAUCAACUGUCGAUGGUAGGCUCUGCGCCUACCAUGGUUGUAACGGGUAACGGGGAAUCAGGGUUCGAUUCCGGAGAGGGAGCCUGAGAAACGGCUACCACAUCCAAGGAAGGCAGCAGGCGCGUAAAUUACCCAUUUCCGGCACGGAGAGGUAGUGACGAAAAAUAACGAUACGGGACUCAUCCGAGGCCCCGUAAUCGGAAUGAGCACACUUUAAAUACUUUAACAAGUAUCCAUUGGAGGGCAAGUCUGGUGCCAGCAGCUGCGGAAAUUCCAGCUCCAAUAGCGUAUAUUAAAAUUGUUGCGGUUAAAAAGCUCGUAGUUGAGUGUGUGUCCCGCACUGUCGGUGCGCCAUUUAUGGUGUUUUUACUGACAUGUUGCGAGACGUC
This 665-nucleotide ribosomal RNA is filed under the name Chelisoches annulatus. RNAcentral describes it as "SSU rRNA". It matches the Rfam family "Eukaryotic small subunit ribosomal RNA", at positions 52 to 700 of the family's 1831-position model. The record is from RNAcentral. Lineage: Eukaryota; Metazoa; Arthropoda; Insecta; Dermaptera; Chelisochidae.